AUUUUAAAUAAACUGGACUAGAUGCAAGGGAGUGUAUUUCAAAGCCCUGCUUCUUCGAGGGCUUUUCACAGGCGCUCUUUUACACCCACGCAGAAAGAGAAUAUGACGAAUGAACAGCACUCAUCAUCGCCGCGGCCAUGGCUUCUCGACGCAGUGCCUUUCGUGGUGGUUCUCCUGAUAGCAGCCCACGUCCUCGCUUUGGUCUACUGGAUUUACAGAUUAGCCACCGAGAAACAGCCUCAGAGGAGAAAGGCACACUGAAAACUAACACUCCAAAGUCUAAUUUCAUUCAGCAAAAUUGGCAAAGGUUUUGGUUGAACCCUAAUUCGUCGAUUGUGAUGCAAGAAAAAAAUUAUGUAAUUAGUUUUGGUUAAUAGAACUAUUUGUUAAUGUUAAUGUUUUUAAUUGUUAUUGCAAUGUAAUUUACUUCAUUGAUUCGUAUCUUUAUACGGUUUAAGCAAGUUGAUGUGAUAGUAGUGAUACAUUUGAUUUGAGUGUUGUAUUAUAGUUGCUGAGUUUUCAGAGGUUUUGAUUUAUUCCAUGUUGUUUUGCUUGUGGGCAAGUUUAGUUCUAGAAAACAGUAGUUGCUUUGUCUUUGGGAUUA
This is a long non-coding RNA of Quercus lobata, 604 nucleotides long. RefSeq lists it as uncharacterized. The record is from RefSeq and is a predicted model, not a curated record. The transcript has 2 exons. NCBI's taxonomy places the organism in Eukaryota, Viridiplantae, Streptophyta, Magnoliopsida, Fagales, Fagaceae.